Drosophila simulans is the source of this 210-nucleotide long non-coding RNA. RefSeq lists it as uncharacterized. The record is from RefSeq and is a predicted model, not a curated record. NCBI's taxonomy places the organism in Eukaryota, Metazoa, Arthropoda, Insecta, Diptera, Drosophilidae. The transcript is spliced from 2 exons.
GCGCCACUAUCGAUAGGCAUCUAUCGCACCAAAGCAACCCUUCGGCGAGCUGUCAAAUAGACACGCGAGCCUAGCACGCCGACUUCCGUUUUAUAUUCGUUCUUUCGUUCUCAAACCGUCGUCCAGACCAGAAGGAAAAUGAGAGCUAAGUGGCGUAAGAAGCGUAUGCGUAGGUUGAAGCGUAAGCGCAGAAAGAUGCGUGCAAGGUCC